Peromyscus maniculatus bairdii (prairie deer mouse) is the source of this 66-nucleotide small nucleolar RNA. Lineage: Eukaryota; Metazoa; Chordata; Mammalia; Rodentia; Cricetidae. The record is from Ensembl.
GGAUCAACAAUGACAACAAAUCUCUGAGGACGGUGAUCAACUCAUACAAAUGGCAACCUGAGGUCC